AUAUUGACACUGAGAUUCGAAAGCGUGGGUAGCAAACAGGAUUAGAUACCCUGGUAGUCCACGCCGUAAACGAUGUCUACUAGCCGUUGGGGUCCUUGAGACUUUAGUGGCGCAGUUAACGCGAUAAGUAGACCGCCUGGGGAGUACGGCCGCAAGGUUAAAACUCAAAUGAAUUGACGGGGGCCCGGCACAAGCGGUGGAGCAUGUGGUUUAAUUCGAUGCAACGCGAAGAACCUUACCUGGUCUUGACAUAGUGAGAAUCCUGCAGAGAUGCGGGAGUGCCUUCGGGAAUUCACAUACAGGUGCUGCAUGGCUGUCGUCAGCUCGUGUCGUGAGAUGUUGGGUUAAGUCCCGCAACGAGCGCAACCCUUUUCCUUAUUUGCCAGCGGGUUAAGCCGGGAACUUUAAGGAUACUGCCAGUGACAAACUGGAGGAAGGCGGGGACGACGUCAAGUCAUCAUGGCCCUUACGACCAGGGCUACACACGUGCUACAAUGGUAGGUACAGAGGGUUGCUACACAGCGAUGUGAUGCUAAUCUCAAAAAGCCUAUCGUAGUCCGGAUUGGAGUCUGCAACUCGACUCCAUGAAGUCGGAAUCGCUAGUA
Molecule: ribosomal RNA, 605 nt
Filed under: uncultured bacterium
Lineage: Bacteria
Description: bacterial SSU rRNA
Rfam family: Bacterial small subunit ribosomal RNA
Source: RNAcentral